CCUAUGGGGGGCAGCAGUGGGGAAUAUUGGGCAAUGGAGGCAACUCUGACCCAGCAACGCCGCGUGAAUGAUGAAGGUCUUCGGAUUGUUAAGUUCUGUGAUGGGGGAUGAACACAAUGACGGUACCCCAAUAGCAAGCCACGACUAACUACGUGCCAGCAGCCGCGGUAAUACGUAGGUGGCAAGCGUUAUGCGGAAGGACUGGGCGUAAAGGGUGCGUAGGUGGGUUAGGAAGUUGGCGGUGUAAUUCCGGGGCCCAACCUCGGCGCUACCGCCAAAACUAUUAGACUAGAGUGCAGGAGGGGUAAGUGGAAUGCCUGGUGUAGCGGUGGAAUGCGUAGAUAUUAGGCAGAACAUCAGGGGCGAAGGCGACUUACUGGACUGAAACUGACACUGAGGCACGAAAGCGUGGGGAGCGAACAGGAUUAGAUACCCUAGUAGUC
RNAcentral lists this ribosomal RNA (443 nucleotides) under uncultured bacterium. RNAcentral describes it as "partial 16S ribosomal RNA". It matches the Rfam family "Bacterial small subunit ribosomal RNA", at positions 338 to 795 of the family's 1533-position model. The record is from RNAcentral.